Molecule: transfer RNA, 77 nt
Filed under: bacterium
Lineage: Bacteria
Description: tRNA-Ala
Rfam family: tRNA
About the family: Transfer RNA (tRNA) molecules are approximately 80 nucleotides in length. Their secondary structure includes four short double-helical elements and three loops (D, anti-codon, and T loops).
Source: RNAcentral
GGGCCUGUAGCUCAGUUGGCUAGAGCGCCUCGUUUGCAACGAGGAGGUCGUCGGUUCGAUUCCGAUCAGGUCCACCA